This 484-nucleotide ribosomal RNA is filed under the name uncultured bacterium. RNAcentral describes it as "partial 16S ribosomal RNA". It matches the Rfam family "Bacterial small subunit ribosomal RNA", at positions 30 to 507 of the family's 1533-position model. The record is from RNAcentral.
AUUGAACGCUGGCGGCAGGCCUAACACAUGCAAGUCGAGCGGAUGAAGGGAGCUUGCUCCUGGAUUCAGCGGCGGACGGGUGAGUAAUGCCUAGGAAUCUGCCUGGUCGUGGGGGAUAACGUCCGGACACGGGCGCUAAUACCGCAUACGUCCUGAGGGAGAAAGUGGGGGAUCUUCGGACCUCACGCUAUCAGAUGAGCCUAGGUCGGAUUAGCUAGUUGGUGGGGUAAAGUCCUACCAAGGCGACGAUCCGUAACUGGUCUGAGAGGAUGAUCAGCCACACUGGAACUGAGACACGGUCCAGACUCCUACGGGAGGCAGCAGUGGGGAAUAUUGGACAAUGGGCGAAAGCCUGAUCCAGCCAUGCCGCGUGUGUGAAGAGGGUCUUCGGAUUGUAAAGCACUUUAAGUUGGGAGGAAGAGCAGUAAGUUAAUACCUUGCUGUUUUGACGUUACCAACAGAAUAAGCACCGGCUAACUUCGUG